This 468-nucleotide ribosomal RNA is filed under the name uncultured bacterium. Its description in RNAcentral is "partial 16S ribosomal RNA". It matches the Rfam family "Bacterial small subunit ribosomal RNA", at positions 28 to 507 of the family's 1533-position model. The record is from RNAcentral.
GACGAACGCUGGCGGCGUGCUUAACACAUGCAAGUCGAACGGAAAGGCCCUGCUUUUGUGGGGUGCUCGAGUGGCGAACGGGUGAGUAACACGUGAGUAACCUGCCCUUGACUUUGGGAUAACUUCAGGAAACUGGGGCUAAUACCGGAUAGGAGCUCCUGCUGCAUGGUGGGGGUUGGAAAGUUUCGGCGGUUGGGGCUGGACUCGCGGCUUAUCAGCUUGUUGGUGGGGUAGCGGCUUACCAAGGCUUUGACGGGUAGCCGGCCUGAGAGGGUGACCGGCCACAUUGGGACUGCGAUACGGCCCAGACUCCUACGGGAGGCAGCAGUGGGGAAUAUUGCACAAUGGGCGGAAGCCUGAUGCAGCAACGCCGCGUGCGGGAUGACGGCCUUCGGGUUGUAAACCGCUUUCGCCUGUGACGAAGCGUGAGUGACGGUAAUGGGUAAAGAAGCACCGGCUAACUACGUG